Molecule: non-coding RNA, 67 nt
Organism: Potamilus streckersoni
Lineage: Eukaryota; Metazoa; Mollusca; Bivalvia; Unionida; Unionidae
Source: the annotation of a GenBank genome assembly
GUGGCCUAGUGGUUAGAGUGUCUGCCUCAGAUGCUGGAGGUCGUGGGUUCGAUCCCUGGUCAAGUCA